GGAAUAUUGGACAAUGGGGGCAACCCUGAUCCAGCCAUGCCGCGUGAGUGAUGAAGGCCCUAGGGUUGUAAAGCUCUUUCAGCGAGGAGGAUAAUGACGUUACUCGCAGAAGAAGCCCCGGCUAACUUCGUGCCAGCAGCCGCGGUAAUACGAAGGGGGCUAGCGUUGUUCGGAAUUACUGGGCGUAAAGCGCGCGUAGGCGGACUGGAAAGUUGGGGGUGAAAUCCCAGGGCUCAACCCUGGAACUGCCUCCAAAACUAUCAGUCUAGAGUUCGAGAGAGGUGAGUGGAAUUCCGAGUGUAGAGGUGAAAUUCGUAGAUAUUCGGAAGAACACCAGUGGCGAAGGCGGCUCACUGGCUCGAUACUGACGCUGAGGUGCGAAAGUGUGGGGAGCAAACAGGAUUAGAUACCCUGGUAGUCCACGCCGUAAACGAUGGAAGCUAGCCGUCAGGUAGCAUGCUAUUUGGUGGCGCAGCUAACGCAUUAAGCUUCCCGCCUGGGGAGUACGGUCGCAAGAUUAAAACUCAA
RNAcentral lists this ribosomal RNA (528 nucleotides) under uncultured Vexilliferidae. Its description in RNAcentral is "partial Bacterial small subunit ribosomal RNA". It matches the Rfam family "Bacterial small subunit ribosomal RNA", at positions 358 to 904 of the family's 1533-position model. Lineage: Eukaryota; Discosea; Flabellinia; Dactylopodida; Vexilliferidae. The record is from RNAcentral.